UACCAGCACCCCGAGUGGUCGGGACGAUUAUUGGGCCUAAAGCCUCCGUAGCCGGUCCUACAAGUCUUCCGUUAAAUCCACCUGCUUAACAGAUGGGCUGCGGAAGAUACUAUAGGACUAGGAGGCGGGAGAGGCAAGCGGUACUCAGUGGGUAGGGGUAAAAUCCUCUGAUCCAUUGAAGACCACCAGUGGCGAAGGCGGCUUGCCAGAACGCGCUCGACGGUGAGGGAUGAAAGCUGGGGGAGCAAACCGG
This 253-nucleotide ribosomal RNA is filed under the name uncultured bacterium. RNAcentral describes it as "partial 16S ribosomal RNA". It matches the Rfam family "Archaeal small subunit ribosomal RNA", at positions 474 to 727 of the family's 1478-position model. The record is from RNAcentral.